This is a non-coding RNA of Podarcis lilfordi (Lilford's wall lizard), 981 nucleotides long. NCBI's taxonomy places the organism in Eukaryota, Metazoa, Chordata, Lepidosauria, Squamata, Lacertidae. The record is from the annotation of a GenBank genome assembly.
UGCGCAUGCGGGAGGGCGGAGCUUUAACGCACUCUGUACAUGCCCAGCGGCAGCGGUCUUGUUUAUUUAUUUAUUAUUCAAUUUUGAAACUGAGACCUAAGCAGUGAAAAUGAAGACGUGGGGAAAAGCAGCUUUACAGACAGGCAUGUAUGCAGAUGGUGCUCACUUCAGUCCUCAGCAAGGUAGAGCAGGGAAAGGUUUCUUUUUAUCUGAGACCCUGGAGAGCUGCUGCCAGUUAGUGUAGAAUGGAUAGACCAAUCGCUUCUUGGCCUUUUGGCCAAGAUCAAGUGUAGAAUGGAUAGACCAGUGGCCUGACUUGUCAGCUUCCUAUUUCUUUGGUUGUUAUCAUGAGGACUAGAAACAUUUUUAAGGGAAAAGUUAUAGUUCAGUGGUGGAGCAUGCUUUGCAUGGUACCCAUUUGAAAUCUGAAUGAACACCAAUGCCCUCCUCACAAAUACAGCUGUGUCAUAAUAUGAAUCCUCUGUCUGUUUUCAGGGAUAAGGUACAGCUCUUGAACAUCAGAAGUGAAAACUCUUUCUGCAUAUAUGGUGAGCCCAAACUGCCGACUACUACACUUUUGGGCACAUCCCACCAUCUCACAGCACCUAGAGAAAAUAAGCUGAGACUGAUGCCUCUUAAGGGGAAGACAGGGCUGGGUCCACUGUGGCACUCCGCAAUGUUACUGAACUACAACACUCACGGGCCAUGGAUGAUGGGCAUUAUAGUUCUGCAAAAUCUGGAGGGCCAAAGGUUCCCUACACCUGGGCUAGGCCAAGGCAGCCCUCCUACCCCCAAGGAUGUCUUAGCUGUGACUGGUUACCCUGCAGAGCCAGCCAAGAACUGUUCAUUUAUGUGAGGCUUGAUCCUAUGCUAUGCAACUCCUCCUUUGUUCAAUGGGCCUUACUUCAAAGUAAGCAUGCAGAGAUUGUAGCUUUCAAUUGGCUGCUACCUUGGCAGCUCUUUCAGUCAAAUGGGGUGGGC